GAUGAACGCUGGCGGCGUGCCUAAUACAUGCAAGUCGAGCGAACAGACGAGGAGCUUGCUCCUCUGACGUUAGCGGCGGACGGGUGAGUAACACGUGGAUAACCUACCUAUAAGACUGGGAUAACUUCGGGAAACCGGAGCUAAUACCGGAUAAUAUAUUGAACCGCAUGGUUCAAUAGAGAAAGACGGCUUUGCUGUCACUUAUAGAUGGAUCCGCGCCGCAUUAGCUAGUUGGUAAGGUAACGGCUUACCAAGGCAACGAUGCGUAGCCGACCUGAGAGGGUGAUCGGCCACACUGGAACUGAGACACGGUCCAGACUCCUACGGGAGGCAGCAGUAGGGAAUCUUCCGCAAUGGGCGCAAGCCUGACGGAGCAACGCCGCGUGAGUGAUGAAGGUCUUCGGAUCGUAAAACUCUGUUAUUAGGGAAGAAAAAAUGUGUAAGUAACUAUGCACGUCUUGACGGUACCUAAUCAGAAAGCCACGGCUAACUACGUG
RNAcentral lists this ribosomal RNA (497 nucleotides) under uncultured bacterium. RNAcentral describes it as "partial 16S ribosomal RNA". It matches the Rfam family "Bacterial small subunit ribosomal RNA", at positions 28 to 507 of the family's 1533-position model. The record is from RNAcentral.